UCCCUUGUGGUCCAGCGGUUAAGACUCUGCACUUCCCAUGCAAGGGACACAGGUUUGAUCCCUGGUUGGGGAA
RNAcentral lists this transfer RNA (73 nucleotides) under Ovis aries (sheep). It matches the Rfam family "tRNA". From Rfam's summary of the family: Transfer RNA (tRNA) molecules are approximately 80 nucleotides in length. Their secondary structure includes four short double-helical elements and three loops (D, anti-codon, and T loops). Further hydrogen bonds mediate the characteristic L-shaped molecular structure. tRNAs have two regions of fundamental functional importance: the anti-codon, which is responsible for specific mRNA codon recognition, and the 3' end, to which the tRNAs corresponding amino acid is attached (by aminoacyl-tRNA synthetases). tRNAs cope with the degeneracy of the genetic code in two manners: having more than one tRNA (with a specific anti-codon) for a particular amino acid; and 'wobble' base-pairing, i.e. permitting non-standard base-pairing at the 3rd anti-codon position. Lineage: Eukaryota; Metazoa; Chordata; Mammalia; Artiodactyla; Bovidae. The record is from Rfam by way of RNAcentral.